CCCCUCCAGAUUCCUUACCCCUGGACUUAACUAUUGGUCUGAGUGGCUGAAAAUCAAGGAGGAAAAGUAAAACUGAAAUAGACUUUGAGACGUUAAUGACAAACACAUUCAUUUCAGACAUAU
RNAcentral lists this small nucleolar RNA (123 nucleotides) under Echinops telfairi (small Madagascar hedgehog). Its description in RNAcentral is "Small nucleolar RNA SNORA61 (ENSETEG00000026102.1)". The record is from RNAcentral. Lineage: Eukaryota; Metazoa; Chordata; Mammalia; Afrosoricida; Tenrecidae.